Molecule: ribosomal RNA, 253 nt
Filed under: uncultured bacterium
Lineage: Bacteria
Description: partial 16S ribosomal RNA
Rfam family: Bacterial small subunit ribosomal RNA
Source: RNAcentral
GACAGAGGUCUCGAGCGUUAGGCGGAAUCACUGGGCUUAAAGCGUGUGUAGGCGGAUGUCUAAGUACCUUGUGAAAUCCCACAGCUUAACUGUGGAAUUGCUUGGUAUACUGGAUGUCUUGAGCCAGCUAGGGGCAACCGGAACAAAUGGUGGAGCGGUGAAAUGCGUAGAUAUCAUUUGGAACGCCAAUGGUGAAAACAGGUUGCUGGGGCUGUGCUGACGCUGAGACACGAAAGCCAGGGGAGCGAACGGG